GUACACUCCUACGGGAGGCAGCAGUGGGGAAUUUUGGACAAUGGGCGAAAGCCUGAUCCAGCAAUGCCGCGUGAGUGAAGAAGGCCUUCGGGUUGUAAAGCUCUUUUGUCAGGGAAGAAACGGUGAGAGCUAAUAUCUCUUGCUAAUGACGGUACCUGAAGAAUAAGCACCGGCUAACUACGUGCCAGCAGCCGCGGUAAUACGUAGGGUGCAAGCGUUAAUCGGAAUCACUGGGCGUAAAGCGUGCGCAGGCGGUUUUGUAAGUCUGAUGUGAAAUCCCCGGGCUCAACCUGGGAAUUGCAUUGGAGACUGCAAGGCUAGAAUCUGGCAGAGGGGGGUAGAAUUCCACGUGUAGCAGUGAAAUGCGUAGAUAUGUGGAGGAACACCGAUGGCGAAGGCAGCCCCCUGGGUCAAGAUUGACGCUCAUGCACGAAAGCGUGGGGAGCAAACAGGAUUAGAAACCCGAGUAGUCCCA
Molecule: ribosomal RNA, 475 nt
Filed under: uncultured organism
Description: partial 16S ribosomal RNA
Rfam family: Bacterial small subunit ribosomal RNA
Source: RNAcentral